CAAUAGCGUAUAUUAAAGUUGUUGCAGUUAAAAAGCUCGUAGUUGAAUUUUUGCUUGCCGCCGAUGUCGGAACUUCCGUACGUUCGGCGGCGUGCAUCCUUGGGUGGAACCUGUGUGGCAUUAGGUUGUCGUGCAGGGGAUGCUCAUCGUUUACUGUGAGAAAAUUAGAGUGUUCAAAGCAGGCUUACGCCGUUGAAUAUAUUAGCAUGGAAUAAUAAGAUAGGACCUUGGUACUAUUUUGUUGGUUUGCGCACCGAGGUAAUGAUUAACAGGGACAGUUGGGGGUAUUCGUAUUCCAUUGUCAGAGGUGAAAUUCUUGGAUUUCUGGAAGACGAACUACUGCGAAAGCAUUUACCAAGGAUGUUUUCAUUAA
This 373-nucleotide ribosomal RNA is filed under the name uncultured eukaryote. RNAcentral's name for it is "partial 18S ribosomal RNA". It matches the Rfam family "Eukaryotic small subunit ribosomal RNA", at positions 592 to 976 of the family's 1831-position model. The record is from RNAcentral.